GAUGAACGCUGGCGGCGUGCCUAAUACAUGCAAGUCGAGCGGACGGACGAGGAGCUUGCUUCUCGGAUGUUUGCGGCGGACGGGUGUGUAACACGUGGAUAACCUACCUAUAAGACGGGGAUAACUUCGGGAAACCGUAGCUAAUACGGUAUAAUAUUUUGAACCACAGGGGUCGAAGGUGAAAGACGGUCGUUCGGUCACUUAUAGAGGGAUCCGGGCUUCAUUGGCUAGUUGGUAAGGUAACGGCUUACCAAGGCAACUAUGCAUAGCCGACGUGAGAGGGUGAUCGGCCACACGGGAACUGAGACACGGUCCAGACUACUGCGGGAGGCAGCAGUAGGGAAUCUUCCGCAAUGGGCGAAAGCCUGACGGAGCAACGCCGCGUGAGUGAUGAAGGUCUUCCGAUCGUAAAACUCUGUUAUUAGGGAAGAACAUAUGUGUAAGUAACUGUGCACAUCUUGACGGUACCUAAUCAGAAAGCCACGGCUAACUACGUG
This 497-nucleotide ribosomal RNA is filed under the name uncultured bacterium. RNAcentral's name for it is "partial 16S ribosomal RNA". It matches the Rfam family "Bacterial small subunit ribosomal RNA", at positions 28 to 507 of the family's 1533-position model. The record is from RNAcentral.